RNAcentral lists this ribosomal RNA (467 nucleotides) under uncultured bacterium. RNAcentral's name for it is "bacterial SSU rRNA". It matches the Rfam family "Bacterial small subunit ribosomal RNA", at positions 339 to 797 of the family's 1533-position model. The record is from RNAcentral.
UUACGGGAGGCAGCAGUGGGGAAUCUUCCGCAAUGGACGAAAGUCUGACGGAGCAACGCCGCGUGUAUGAUGAAGGUCUUCGGAUUGUAAAGUACUGUCUUUGGGGAAGAACGGUCUUCUUGAGAAUAUUGAGGAGACAUGACGGUACCCAAGGAGGAAGCCCCGGCUAACUACGUGCCAGCAGCCGCGGUAAUACGUAGGGGGCAAGCGUUGUCCGGAAUUAUUGGGCGUAAAGGGCGCGUAGGCGGAUUUUUAAGUCUGGUGUGAAAGAUCAGGGCUCAACCCUGAGAGUGCAUCGGAAACUGGAGAUCUUGAGGACAGGAGAGGAAAGUGGAAUUCCACGUGUAGCGGUGAAAUGCGUAGAUAUGUGGAGGAACACCAGUGGCGAAGGCGACUUUCUGGACUGUAACUGACGCUGAGGCGCGAAAGCGUGGGGAGCAAACAGGCUUAGAUACCCCCGUAGUCCU